This 769-nucleotide ribosomal RNA is filed under the name Dothideomycetes sp. 2.5 G1+. RNAcentral's name for it is "eukaryotic LSU rRNA". The stretch from base 154 to 307 matches the Rfam family "5.8S ribosomal RNA". Lineage: Eukaryota; Fungi; Ascomycota; Dothideomycetes. The record is from RNAcentral.
UGAGCGCCUGGUGCAGGAUCGGCCGGCCACUGACCACACCCUUACUUUACGAGCACCUUUCGUUCUCCUUCGGCGGGGCAACCCGCCGCUGGACCCUCAUCAAACCUUUUUUUGCAUCUAGCAUUACCUGUUCUGAUAAAAAACAAUCGUAACAACUUUCAACAAUGGAUCUCUUGGCUCUGGCAUCGAUGAAGAACGCAGCGAAAUGCGAUAAGUAGUGUGAAUUGCAGAAUUCAGUGAAUCAUCGAAUCUUUGAACGCACAUUGCGCCCCUUGGUAUUCCAUGGGGCAUGCCUGUUCGAGCGUCAUCUACACCCUCAAGCUCUGCUUGGUGUGGGCGUCUGUCCCGCCUCUGCGCGCGGACUCGCCCCAAAGGCAUUGGCAGCGGUCCACGGCCCCUCUCGCGCAGCACAUUGCGCUUCUCGAGGCGGCCCGGCCCGCAUCCACGAAGCCCACAUUACCGUCUUUGACCUCGGAUCAGGUAGGGAUACCCGCUGAACUUAAGCAUAUCAAUAGGCCGGGAGGGAAGAUCAUUAUCGAUGGCCGCGCCGUGAGCGCCUGGUGCAGGAUCGGCCGGCCACUGACCACACUUACUUUACGAGCACUUUGUUUCUCUUAGGGGGGGGCAACGCGCUGACUCAUCAAACUUUUUGUUGCAUCUGCACUACUGUUCUGAUAAAAAACAAUCGUAACAACUUUCACAAUGGAUCUCUGGCUCUAGCAUCGAUGAAGAACGCACGUAUGCGAUAAGUAGUGUGAAUUGCAGAAAU